GAGGAAGCUUGCUCCCGCUGGACUGCGCAGCAGGCCCUGGCUCUAUGGGGCACUUCGCACCCCAGCGGGAGCAAGCUCCCUU
Molecule: unclassified non-coding RNA, 82 nt
Filed under: Pseudomonas koreensis
Lineage: Bacteria; Pseudomonadati; Pseudomonadota; Gammaproteobacteria; Pseudomonadales; Pseudomonadaceae
Source: RNAcentral